RNAcentral lists this ribosomal RNA (496 nucleotides) under uncultured bacterium. RNAcentral's name for it is "partial 16S ribosomal RNA". It matches the Rfam family "Bacterial small subunit ribosomal RNA", at positions 29 to 507 of the family's 1533-position model. The record is from RNAcentral.
ACGAACGCUGGCGGCGUGCCUAAUACAUGCAAGUUGAGCGCUGAAGGUUGGUACUUGUACCAACUGGAUGAGCAGCGAACGGGUGAGUAACGCGUGGGGAAUCUGCCUUUGAGCGGGGGACAACAUUUGGAAACGAAUGCUAAUACCGCAUAAAAACUUUAAACACAAGUUUUAAGUUUGAAAGAUGCAAUUGCAUCACUCAAAGAUGAUCCCGCGUUGUAUUAGCUAGUUGGUGAGGUAAAGGCUCACCAAGGCGAUGAUACAUAGCCGACCUGAGAGGGUGAUCGGCCACAUUGGGACUGAGACACGGCCCAAACUCCUACGGGAGGCAGCAGUAGGGAAUCUUCGGCAAUGGACGAAAGUCUGACCGAGCAACGCCGCGUGAGUGAAGAAGGUUUUCGGAUCGUAAAACUCUGUUGGUGGAGAAGAACGUUGGUGAGAGUGGAAAGCUCAUCAAGUGACGGUAACUACCCAGAAAGGGACGGCUAACUACGUG